GUCGGAUGCAUUGAUGCAGGGGCCAUGAUGAUAGCAUGCCGGAUGCAUUGAGGCAGGGCAACUAUCAUAUAAAAAGAUGCUGUUUGAGGCUUGUUGCAACAGGCAAAAGGGUAAUGAAAUCCCAGAACUUACUAGAGGAAUUGAAUAAAUUAAUAGAAGACAAGGGAGACUCAUGAGAGGUUUUGGAGGGCCUACUUGGUUACAUCCUGUGUUCCACCCAGGAGGCAGUUGUUCCACCAUAUGUUGCUCUUGCCAUAAGACCAAAUCCUGGAUUCUGAGAAUUUGUUAAGGUGAACUCCGAGGACUUGUC
This is a long non-coding RNA of Juglans microcarpa x Juglans regia, 310 nucleotides long. RefSeq lists it as uncharacterized. The record is from RefSeq and is a predicted model, not a curated record. NCBI's taxonomy places the organism in Eukaryota, Viridiplantae, Streptophyta, Magnoliopsida, Fagales, Juglandaceae. The transcript has 3 exons.